CAGAGUGCGAAGAUGGACUUUUCAUGCCUGGGGUUGCUAUGACUAGCUUAGUAAACUAAGUAAAAUGGCUGCACACGGACAAGAGAUAGCCAGAGAGUUGCAAGUUUUGGCAAAUCUUGCUGAAAAUGGAAGUGCCUCACCAGAUUUUUUACUUUUUCGUGUUGAGGCUCUGAGUAUUUGUUACAGUUAUCUUCAUCUACGGACACAGAGGUUGACCCUGUAGUGUUCAACGUUUUUGAAGAAGUGGAACAUAGUCUUAGAGCUAGCACUAAUGUUUUGAUGCAUUCAGUCGACUCCGGAGCAGUUGGACGCCCUUCUCUUGUACUGCCCUUGUACUGCCCGGUGUGUCAGUCCGUGACAUUGCGACUCUUUUUGGGGUUGGUGAAAGAACAAUUCACCGCCGAAUGGCAGAUCAUGGAAUACGGGUUUCUGAUCUGUUUACCACCAUUGGUAAUGAAGAGUUGGAUUUGGCAGUACGGAAAUCCUUCGCCGUCAUCCAAACACUGGCUAUAAAAUGAUGUUGGGCCAUGUUAAUGCCCGAGGCAUAAAAGUCCAGCGACAACGUCUUCAAGAAUGUAUGCAUCUUAUAGACCCAGAAGGCGUUCAGAUGCGCAGGCUCCAGCUCCAGACGUUGAGGCGCAGAAGAUAUUUUGUGCCAGCCCCUAACAGUUUGUGGCAUAUAGAUGGCAACCAUAAGCUUAUAAGUUAUGGCUGAGUUUUUCAGGUAAACAGCAUUUAUACAAUACCUUUUUGUAAGUAGAAUACUAUAUCAAGAAUGCAGGCUUCAAGUUUUGGAGAAAGUCUAUGGGUUGUAUUCUUCGUAUUUUGCUCAAAUUCCUUGAAAACAUAAUCUCAGAUAAUUAUUCAUUUCUACAGUCCUUUGAUUCUAGAGGAUAUCUCCAAGUCCCUCAAUGUCCCCGUAUUUGCAGGGUAUCCCAAAUCCACAAAAACACGAUUGUAUAAAAACCUUCCAUACCAUCACAAUGCAUGAGUUUAUUAAAUGUGUUUAGUAGAUAGAAUAAUAACAUAAUUUCAUUUGCAGUUCCCUGUGAAAGCACACAAGCGCAUUGUUUGCUAAAGAUGUUUUCACCAACAUUAUGUUUGAUAUGAACCCAUACAGUUCUUUCAUAACAAUGAACAUGGACAUCAGAAAUAUGUCAAUUGAUGUUGGACCACUAUGUGCAGGCAACUCAUCUCAUUUGUGCUGUGACAUAUAAGCAAGAUGCCUGCCUCUGCAUCUAAAUCUCUAAUGAAGCAACACCAUUUAAUAUGAAAAAAUAAAUCCAGUGAUUGAAGACUGCUAAUCAUUUUAACUGUUAGAUGUUACCUUGAAGUGUAAUACACAAUGCCAUCUUAUUUAAAUUACAGAUGGCGAAUUGUAGUUCAUGGUGGCAUUGAUGGUUUUAGCCGUCUAAUUGUGUACCUUACCUGCGCCACGAACAACCGGGCCUCAACAGUGAUGAGCAGCUUCCUUGAAGCUGUCAACACCUAUGGAGUGCCAUCACGAGUUAGGUCUGACAAAGGAGGAGAAAAUGUUCAAGUGGCACACUUAUAUCUUAUUCUGCCUUUCACAUGAUUUAAACUCUCAAAUCAAAAGUGUACUCUGAUAUCCACAAAAACAUGUCUUUAAACAUAUGAGGCAUUUGUAUAAUGACUAAGAAGAAAAAAACGUACGGCAUGGAGGAGGGUUUUCUCUUUUAGCCAGACCCUGUUAUCCAUUGUGACGCCAGGCAGGUCCCAAGGCAGUGCCAGAGAGAGAACUUUAGUUUUAUCUUCCUCUGUAAGUUCCAUGGUUCCUUCCAGCUGAUCAAGGACAGACACAACGCUAAGUUAAAACUAACAAUACAUUAUUUAGAAUUUGGUCGAGCAACAACAUUUAAAAGCAAACUAAGUUUGAUGAACACACACAAAGUUAGUUGCUUUAAAAGAAGAUGAAUUGUAACAUGUUUUGUAAACAAUUAUAUAUGAUAUUUCACUACUAAACAACUCGAUGACAUCACGGACAUCCUGGUCCACGCAGUCAGAUCGAGUUAUUGUUGCCGUCUCUUGUUCUCCGCCAAACAGUACAUGCAUGAUAGCGGGGCUUUGACCGGUAAAAUGUGGGCCACCAUUUAAAAAACAGUGCCCAAUCAUACGGCCAGCUACAACAAAAAAGUCACUUUCUAAUAGUGUUUGUGAUGUUGAUGGAAUUAAAUGGUCUCUUUGUCCUUCAAACAGCAAGGUCUUGAUUUCUGAGAAGAAGCAGAUUUAAUUGUUACUGGCUAAGUUGAUUUAUUUUUCAUAUACAUAAUCAUAAUCAGUCUAUAAAUCAAUAAUAUGAAAUACCUUUCUCUUCAUCAAGAAGGAAUCCAUUUUGCAGUUGUUCCAUGACAGUAGAGAGCACAUACCUGGUGACGCCCUCUCCAAUGGCAGAGUCACCUAAUAAAAAAUAUUGGAAAUGUUACACAUGGAUGCCUCAAUGGAGACCCCUCUUGUUUUGAAUUCUCUGUCAAAGUUCUAUCUAGUAUCUGGGACUGACAUCUAAAAAACUGUACAACCACUGUACACUAGGUGGAACUUCCCAUUUCAAAUUCACUCCCCCUCACCACCAAAACGUAAUAUAACAAUGUACUGGUUCUGUCUAUUUUGACACGUCAUUUAGAUUUUUACCAAUCAAUCUGCAAUGCAGUGGAUUAGCCCACUCCACCCUUGGCCUUUUGUAAAAAAAGCAUGAUGGCCCUGUUCCUUUCCACUAUGGAAUCCCUCAAGCUUAGUGUGAAGGCAAGGGGGUCUUUGUCCUUGUUGGAGUCAAGUGUUGUGUGGGUGAACAAUUCCGCUGCCUUUCCUGGGUUGGGUUCUGUGACCCAAGCUUAACAGAAACGCAAAAUGUUAAAUACAUUUCACUGCUACAGUAAAUAUAUGAUAUUAUACUAUAUUAUACUUAUUUCUAAAUAAUCUGGAAAUCAAUAAAUCAUUAAGUCACCUGCCACAUCCCCAAAAGAAUACUUAGCUGUCUAAAUGAGGACCGACUAUUCUGUGUAAACGUUAUUUUCAGAAAGGUAAGUUGAUACCAAUGUUUAUAUUUAUAUAAACAUAAUUUAUAAUAGGUUCUUCUGAACUUUGUUUGUACAUUUACUUACCAUCAAGGAUGUAUACUGGCCCACUUGCUGCUGAAGUGCCAGAUGAACUUGCUGCUGAUAUUGACAAUAUAAAAUAAUCCGUAUUCAUAAUUAUGUUCAAAGCAUUAUAUCACCAGGUGGGUGUGUGCAUUUCAUGCAAGUGUUUGUAAUGAAUGGAAACUGAGUACAAGUAAAUGUACCCUCUUAAAGUAAUACAACACCUGAAACUAGCCUAAUUAAUCAUAAACCCUAAAUUGCGCAAAAUCUCUCAUCCCUUAGAACCAAUCUGUAAUCUUGGUGAGUACAAACCCUCAUCUGAACCUGUCUCCAGACUCCGCCAUGAGCAAAUCUACAACUUGAUGCUGUAAGGUGGUGUCACUUGUCCCACUGGCUCGAGGGCAGCUGCACCAUUCUCCCUGUCAUUCUCUACAUCCCUUUUAACCUGUGAUCGGCUUGAAAAGAGUUAAGUUGAGGAGAUAGUUUGCCUUUACGCAGUAUCAAUUAUUCAAACACAAACAUUUCAUAAAAGACCUCUACAUCGGUAACCAGGCUGGUUGACAAAUGGAUAGUUAUGAUUACUGGCUAUUUUAUAACAAACAUACACCAACAUUGAACCAAAGGGAAAAAGGAACACAAUGUUAAAAUACAUUUAAAAUUUAGAGCAUUACCUUGAACAGGCAUCAUUGUGGGUUCUGAUUUGUGCAAAAGGUAGUUGUUCUCCACAGUGAAUGCAAGAUGUCAGGGGUCCAGUUUGAGCAACUGAAUUAUCCACUUCCUAAUUGUUGAGACAACAACAUAAAUAACUGAAACAACACAUAAAAUACACUGUGGAAGGGUGAGCAAUUUGACAGAAACAUUUGAAUCUUUAGAUUUCUAGAUGACAGUAGAUUAGAGUAACAAUCCACAUAUUGACUUGACAGAUCAGUUAGUGCACUCAAAUAUUCAAGACAAAUAACAGCAAAAAUGUAGAACUUUGUCUUACAUUCUCCAUACUCAAAUUUCUUUACAGUGGUGAGAAUGUAAAGAGUGGCAUGAUUUAUCAUGACUGAAGGGUCUUUUAGGUAUUUGACACAGUAGCCCUGAUUAGGGCAAGGGAUGGAAACAAGAUGACGGCUUUGUGUGGUUCCAGAAAUUUAUCCAGAAAUUCAAAUCAAUUUUGGAUAGCUUGUCAAAAUGGACUCCACAAACUCUUCUGAGUUUUCUUGGUUACCUGUGAGAUAAUAAACAAGACAAAAUAGCACCAGCAACAAUGUUUUUUGUUAUUAUAAAACAGCUGACAGGAACUUUAUCUGCACUACAUUUGCCAGGUGACAUACCUCGAAAGUUCAGGCGCCUCUCACCCAACCCCACCCUCUGGAGAUGCUCUUUGCCAACUCUGCUUGGGACGAUAGCUGUGUCUAUCCGCCCAAGACAGCAAAAUGUGUGGGUGUAAGUGACAAGUUGGUUGGUCUGAGAGUGUCUUGGUUGGCGCCUUGACCUUGUUUGGUUGUUGUACGCGGAAAACAGCCUUGAAACUUCCGCUAGAAAAAUAAAUUCAUUAUAUAGUGAAUUACGUAAUACAUUCUCAAACUACAUUAAACCGAUAGGUCGCCAAAGCUUAUGUCAUGUUGUUUACUGUAAUUUUUUUUUACUGUACACUUGUUGGUUAUGAUUACUUAUAAUGUAUAUUAUGUGUAUUAGCUGACCAUCAACAGGGUGGUGUAGACCUCUGCGACCAAUUGGUGUACCAGAUGAUAUGCCAGAAGUGGCAGAUGAUAUUGCAGAAGUGACAGAUGACAUGGAAGAUGCUGUU
Hypomesus transpacificus is the source of this 4890-nucleotide long non-coding RNA. RefSeq lists it as uncharacterized. The transcript is spliced from 3 exons. NCBI's taxonomy places the organism in Eukaryota, Metazoa, Chordata, Actinopteri, Osmeriformes, Osmeridae. The record is from RefSeq and is a predicted model, not a curated record.